This 467-nucleotide ribosomal RNA is filed under the name uncultured bacterium. RNAcentral's name for it is "partial 16S ribosomal RNA". It matches the Rfam family "Bacterial small subunit ribosomal RNA", at positions 29 to 507 of the family's 1533-position model. The record is from RNAcentral.
ACGAACGCUGGCGGCGUGCUUAACCCAUGCAUGUCGAACGGAAAGGCCCUGCUUUUGUGGGGUGCUCGAGUGGCGAACGGGUGAGUAACACGUGAGUAACCUGCCCUUGACUUUGGGAUAACUUCAGGAAACUGGGGCUAAUACCGGUUAGGAGCUCCUGCUGCAUGGUGGGGGUUGGAAAGUUUCGGCGGUUGGGGAUGGACUCGCGGCUUAUCAGCUUGUUGGUGGGGUAGUGGCUUACCAAGGCUUUGACGGGUAGCCGGCCUGAGAGGGUGGCCGGCCACAUUGGGACUGAGAUACGGCCCAGACUCCUACGGGAGGCAGCAGUGGGGAAUAUUGCACAAUGGGCGGAAGCCUGAUGCAGCAACGCCGCGUGCGGGAUGACGGCCUUCGGGUUGUAAACCGCUUUCGCCUGUGACGAAGCGUGAGUGACGGUAAUGGGUAAAGAAGCACCGGCUAACUACGUG